GGGGAAUUUUGGACAAUGGGCGCAAGCCUGAUCCAGCAAUGCCGCGUGCAGGAAGAAGGCCUUCGGGUUGUAAACUGCUUUUGUACGGAGCGAAAAGGCUUUCUCUAAUACAGGAGGCUGAUGACGGUACCGUAAGAAUAAGCACCGGCUAACUACGUGCCAGCAGCCGCGGUAAUACGUAGGGUGAGAGCGUUAAUCGGAAUUACUGGGCGUAAAGCGUGCGCAGGCGGCUUUGUAAGACAGGCGUGAAAUCCCCGGGCUCAACCUGGGAAUGGCGCUUGUGACUGCAAAGCUGGAGUGCGGCAGAGGGGGAUGGAAUUCCGCGUGUAGCAGUGAAAUGCGUAGAUAUGCGGAGGAACACCGAUGGCGAAGGCAAUCCCCUGGGCCUGCACUGACGCUCAUGCACGAAAGCGUGGGGAGCAAAC
This 425-nucleotide ribosomal RNA is filed under the name uncultured bacterium. RNAcentral's name for it is "bacterial SSU rRNA". It matches the Rfam family "Bacterial small subunit ribosomal RNA", at positions 356 to 773 of the family's 1533-position model. The record is from RNAcentral.